RNAcentral lists this ribosomal RNA (478 nucleotides) under uncultured bacterium. Its description in RNAcentral is "partial 16S ribosomal RNA". It matches the Rfam family "Bacterial small subunit ribosomal RNA", at positions 28 to 523 of the family's 1533-position model. The record is from RNAcentral.
GACGAGCGCUGGCGGCGUGCUUAACACAUGCAAGUCGAACGGUAAGGCCCUUCGGGGUACACGAGUGGCGAACGGGUGAGUAACACGUGGGUGAUCUGCCCUGCACUUCGGGAUAAGCCUGGGAAACUGGGUCUAAUACCGGAUAGGACUCCGGACUGCAUGGUCUGGGGUGGAAAGCUUUUGCGGUGUGGGAUGGGCCCGCGGCCUAUCAGCUUGUUGGUGGGGUGAUGGCCUACCAAGGCGACGACGGGUAGCCGGCCUGAGAGGGUGACCGGCCACACUGGGACUGAGAUACGGCCCAGACUCCUACGGGAGGCAGCAGUGGGGAAUAUUGCACAAUGGGCGCAAGCCUGAUGCAGCGACGCCGCGUGAGGGAUGACGGCCUUCGGGUUGUAAACCUCUUUCAGCAUCGACGAAGCGAAAGUGACGGUAGGUGCAGAAGAAGAACCGGCCAACUACGUGCCAGCAGCCGCCGUAA